RNAcentral lists this long non-coding RNA (635 nucleotides) under Astyanax mexicanus (Mexican tetra). RNAcentral's name for it is "lncRNA (ENSAMXG00005008838.1)". The record is from RNAcentral. Lineage: Eukaryota; Metazoa; Chordata; Actinopteri; Characiformes; Acestrorhamphidae.
GUCAGAGUUCUAAAUGAUGAUGUCACAGCGAGAAGGCUGCAUAAGAUCUAUGAUCAGAGUCAGUUGUGCUCAUUCUCUGCUUGAGUGCUGUAAAGGUUAGAGGUAACUGUAAGUGCAGAGGUUCCCAAAUGUUGUGUGUUUGGCUGUGGUGUAUUUCGCUCCCCCAAACAGAGUUAGACUGUGAGAACAGAAUGAAAGUUGUGGAGAAGGAGAAGCAGAAGAAGAAAUGUAUAUGGGCAAAGGUAAAGGAGACGUUUAGAAAGUGGAAGCUGCCGUGGAGAAAAGUGGUUCAGAGGGACCUAGAUUAUCUUCAGAAGACUUCGAUGGAUGAAGCCGAGAUCAGCGAGACUCUCCUCAUUGGAAAACUGACCUUUAAAGGCAUGGAGAUGAUUACAACAGACAUGGACUAUGAUGAGACAGAGGUUGAAGCCAUUCUCAUGGACAUCCAGCUGGACGAGACUGAUGAAGCAGCUGUGCAGACACCUCUAGUGAGCGGAGCUGACAUGCCUGGUCAGGGAGCUCCUGGAGACGCUGCUGGAGUUGUUUCAGCUGAUGUCCAGUGACUGCUGAACACACACACACACACACACACACAUUGAGAAAUACAUACACUAAUAAACACACACACAUGCACA